RNAcentral lists this long non-coding RNA (1731 nucleotides) under Homo sapiens (human). RNAcentral's name for it is "HSALNT0399374". Lineage: Eukaryota; Metazoa; Chordata; Mammalia; Primates; Hominidae. The record is from RNAcentral.
UCCCUGUGUUGCCCAUGCUGGUCUUGAACUCCUGGGUUCAAGUGAUCCUCCCACCUCGGGCUUCCAAACUGCUGAGAUUAUAGGCAUGAGCCACUGUGCCCGGCCUGAGAAGAGAGGAAUGUACCCAAUUUGUACAGAUCUCUCUCUCUGCGGAAGCCAGCCACCGCUCUCCAAGGACUCUCGAGCAGCUCCAUCUACAGAUUCACAUGGAGAAGAAUUAAGGGUUCCUGCCAAUCACCAGCACCACUUUGCCAGCCUUGUAAGUGGGCCACCUUGGAAUUGGAGCCUCCAGUUCCUACUGACAUCUGACUGCAACAUCAUGAGAGACCCUGAGUUUGAACCACCCAGCUGAGCUGCUUCUGAGCUAACCCACUGAAACCGUGAAAGUACCUGAAUGAAACAACACCCAGUAGCCACUAGCACACCUAGCUCCCAGAUCUGUUUUUGAUGCCAUUCUUCAGUAAAAGGAAGCAAGGCUGCUUGGAGAAAUUGCUAUCAAGGACUGGGGUAGAAAAUAUACAAGAUGAAAUUGGAGCAUCUUGUAGUGCUUGAAAACAGUUGGCAUCUGUGUGAAGAUGUGAAUGGAGGAGGCAGAGUAGGCAGUGAGUGCCGCAGCCACAGCUUGUGUUCUCUGCAGCCCUGGCACAGAAGAUAGGAACACUCAUGGGGGAUGCGGCCACUGUGAUGUCUUCCCACACAAGAAGUGCCAAGUGCUUUUCUCAUGCUUUUCUGGAUUGUCCCAUGGUGGACGAGUCAGCAGGAGUGAGAUGGAGCAGCACAGUAGAGGGGCCAGGAUAUCGUUGUACAUAUUCUCAGCUAAGUGAGCACCAAUAGAGGAGAGGGAGAGUCUCAUGGAAGUUCCUUCUAAGCCUUUGGCUCUUUUUACCUUCAACAAGGUGUGCCACCUCUUUGAUCCAGCAAGUGGGAAGAACAGUCCCGGCCUCUUUGCACACAAGACCGUGAUACCAAUGCACCAUCACAGGCCCCACAGGGGAGCUGUCCGCUUCCCCACACAGCUGCUAGGGGCUCUUUUGCAUGUUCCCAACCUUUCCUGCCUUUAUCUGAUAUUCGUUCCUUAGAUCCUGGGAUGAGGAGGUGGACCAGCAGAAGGUGGGCUUGUGAAGGCAGCCCGGGGUCCAAAUCCUCCUGGCUCUUCAGCUUAGCGGGUUAGUUAACAUUCAGAAGCCUUCAUCUCCCAUCUGCAAAAUGGGCAUGUCCAACUCAGAAGCUGCCUUGAAGAAAGGGUCUACCCAGCAUGGUGCGUGGAGCCUAAGCAGUCAGUACUUCAGGACUUCACCCGGCCCCUUUCCAAUAACUGCUGCUGUCGCCCUCACAGGAUGUCACCUUCAGCGUCUGAAAGCUGGGUUUGAUGCGUCUGGAAAGGCGUCCCUGACAGGCGUCGUUGCCAGGAGCCCCUAGUGCCACCAGCAGCCAGCAGGGGAGGGCGUCCUCUGCCCGCUCACUUCUGACCCUUCUCUCGUUGCACCCGGAACAUGGUGCAGCUGGGAGCAGCCUGGGCUGCGCGGAAGGCUCAGAUUUGGGGACGGCCCUUGCCAGUGACUGUGAGCUGGGGUGUCUUGGAAACUCCCAGUCUCAGCUUCUCCAUUUAUAAGAUGAGAAUGAUCAUACCAGACUCAGGCAAGGUUGUUUGUGCAUUAGUGAAAUCAGACGUAUUAAAUAAAGUACCACAUUGAUCGUGGAGUUGUUGAAUAACCAAGAACACGCCUAUCU